This 558-nucleotide ribosomal RNA is filed under the name Neobacillus vireti. RNAcentral's name for it is "bacterial SSU rRNA". It matches the Rfam family "Bacterial small subunit ribosomal RNA", at positions 419 to 964 of the family's 1533-position model. Lineage: Bacteria; Bacillati; Bacillota; Bacilli; Caryophanales; Bacillaceae. The record is from RNAcentral.
AAGGUCGUAAAGCUCUGUUGUUAGGGAAGAACAAGUACCGUUCGAAUAGGGCGGUACCUUGACGGUACCUAACCAGAAAGCCACGGCUAACUACGUGCCAGCAGCCGCGGUAAGCAUUAGGUGGCAAGCGUUGUCCGGAAUUAUUGGGCGUAAAGCGCGCGCAGGCGGUUCCUUAAGUCUGAUGUGAAAGCCCACGGCUCAACCGUGGAGGGUCAUUGGAAACUGGGGAACUUGAGUGCAGAAGAGGAAAGCGGAAUUCCUGCAGUAGCGGUGAAAUGCGUAGAGAUGUGGAGGAACACCAGUGGCGAAGGCGGCUUUCUGGUCUGUAACUGACGCUGAGGCGCGAAAGCGUGGGGAGCAAACAGGAUUAGAUACCCUGGUAGUCCACGCCGUAAACGAUGAGUGCUAAGUGUUAGGGGGUUUCCGCCCCUUAGUGCACGUGCUAACGCAUUAAGCACUCCCGCCUGGGGAGUACGGCCGCAAGGCUGAAACUCAAAGGAAUUGACGCGGCCCCCCACAAGCGGUGGAGCAUGUGUUUUAAUUAGAAGCAACGAUCUC